GGGGUGGUGGUCUAGCUUGGUCUAAGAUGCCAGCCUGGGGCGUUGGUGGUCCCGGGUUCAAAUCCCGGCCACCCCA
RNAcentral lists this transfer RNA (76 nucleotides) under Candidatus Nanoarchaeia archaeon. RNAcentral describes it as "tRNA-Pro". It matches the Rfam family "tRNA". Rfam says of the family: Transfer RNA (tRNA) molecules are approximately 80 nucleotides in length. Their secondary structure includes four short double-helical elements and three loops (D, anti-codon, and T loops). Further hydrogen bonds mediate the characteristic L-shaped molecular structure. tRNAs have two regions of fundamental functional importance: the anti-codon, which is responsible for specific mRNA codon recognition, and the 3' end, to which the tRNAs corresponding amino acid is attached (by aminoacyl-tRNA synthetases). tRNAs cope with the degeneracy of the genetic code in two manners: having more than one tRNA (with a specific anti-codon) for a particular amino acid; and 'wobble' base-pairing, i.e. permitting non-standard base-pairing at the 3rd anti-codon position. The record is from RNAcentral. Lineage: Archaea; Nanobdellati; Nanobdellota; Candidatus Nanoarchaeia. RNAcentral also lists the same sequence under 1 other name.